ACGAAAUGCAAAUGCUAAAUGACCUAAAAAUGAAUGCAUGCAUGAGGUGUAAAGCGUAUUCUUCCAGAAAAAAUGAAGGGUAAAUUUUGGGGUAUUACAACAAGUACCAAAAGUAUUGGCCUCUAGGGCUUACACCACCAAUCUCCCACUAGCACUAGAGCCAAUCAGGCAUACCCCUAAUGCCCAUAGAUCUAGUAUGGCC
This 202-nucleotide long non-coding RNA is filed under the name Lathyrus oleraceus (garden pea). RNAcentral describes it as "Pisum sativum (pea) long non-coding RNA (PSAT_LNC031653)". The record is from RNAcentral. Lineage: Eukaryota; Viridiplantae; Streptophyta; Magnoliopsida; Fabales; Fabaceae.